CAACUCGAGAAUGGCCUUCGAUACUGGCAAACUAGAGUGCCGGAGAGGGAAAGCGGAACUCUUGGUGUAACGGUGGAAUGUGUAGAAAUCAAGAGGAACACCGGUGGCGAAGGCGGCUUUCUGGACGCACACUGACGCUCAGGCGCGAAAGCGUGGGUAGCAAACAGGAUUAGAUACCCUGGUAGUCCACGCCAUAAACGAUGGGUACUAGGUGUCGGGGGUAUCGACCCCUCCGGUGCCGCAGUUAACGCACUAAGUACCCCGCCUGGGGAUUAUGGUCGCAAGGCUGAAACUCAAAGGAAUUGACGGGGCCCCGCACAAGCGGUGGAGCAUGUGGUUUAAUUCGACGCAACGCGAAGAACCUUACCUGGGCUUGACAUGCUUGGGACAGCGCUGGAAACAGCGUCUCUCCUUCGGGAGCCCUUGCACAGGUGCUGCAUGGCUGUCGUCAGCUCGUGUCGUGAGAUGUUGGGUUAAGUCCCGCAACGAGCGCAACCCUCGUUACUAGUUGCCAUCAGUUCGGCUGGGCACUCUAGUGAGACUGCCGGUGAUAAACCGGAGGAAGGUGAGGAUGAUGUCAAGUCAUCAUGGCCCUUACGCCCAGGGCUACACACGUGCUACAAUGGUCGGCACAAAGGGUCGCUAAGCCGCGAGGUGGAGCUAAUCCCAAAAAGCCGGCCUCAGUUCGGAUUGGAGUCUGCAACCCGACUCCAUGAAGGCGGAAUCGCUAGUAAUCGCGGAUCAGCAUGCCGCGGUGAAUAUGUUCCCGGGGCUUGUACACACCGCCCGUCAUAUCACCCGAGUCGGGGAUACCCGAAGUCCGUGACCCAACCAUUUGGAGGGAGCGGCCGAAGGUGUGCCUGUAAGGGGG
Molecule: ribosomal RNA, 871 nt
Filed under: uncultured organism
Description: bacterial SSU rRNA
Rfam family: Bacterial small subunit ribosomal RNA
Source: RNAcentral